UACAGAGGGUGCAAGCGUUAAUCGGAGUUACUGGGCGUAAAGGGCGCGUAGGCGGAUGUAUAAGUGAGGUGUGAAAUCCCUGGGCUUAACCUAGGAACUGCAUUUUAUACUGUGCAUCUUGAGUACUGUAGAGGGUAGUGGAAUUUCCGGUGUAGCGGUGAAAUGCGUAGAGAUCGGAAGGAACACCAGUGGCGAAGGCGGCUACCUGGACAGAUACUGACGCUGAAGCGCGAGAGCGUGGGGAGCAAACAGG
RNAcentral lists this ribosomal RNA (253 nucleotides) under uncultured prokaryote. Its description in RNAcentral is "partial 16S ribosomal RNA". It matches the Rfam family "Bacterial small subunit ribosomal RNA", at positions 524 to 776 of the family's 1533-position model. The record is from RNAcentral.